Molecule: ribosomal RNA, 632 nt
Filed under: uncultured Flavobacteriia bacterium
Lineage: Bacteria; Pseudomonadati; Bacteroidota; Flavobacteriia
Description: bacterial SSU rRNA
Rfam family: Bacterial small subunit ribosomal RNA
Source: RNAcentral
GCUAGCGGCAGGCCUAACACAUGCAAGUCGAACGGUAACAGGAAUUAGCUUGCUAAUUUGCUGACGAGUGGCGCACGGGUGCGUAACGCGUAUACAAUCUACCUUUUGCUGAGGGAUAGCCCAGAGAAAUUUGGAUUAAUACCUCAUAGUAUUAUUGAUAGGCAUCUAUUAAUAAUUAAAGGUUACGGCAAAAGAUGAGUAUGCGUCCCAUUAGCUAGUUGGCGAGGUAACGGCUCACCAAGGCAACGAUGGGUAGGGGUCCUGAGAGGGAGAUCCCCCACACUGGUACUGAGACACGGACCAGACUCCUACGGGAGGCAGCAGUGAGGAAUAUUGGACAAUGGGCGAGAGCCUGAUCCAGCCAUGCCGCGUGCAGGAAGACUGCCCUAUGGGUUGUAAACUGCUUUUAUACAGGAAGAAUAAGCCUUACGUGUAAGGUGAUGACGGUACUGUAAGAAUAAGGACCGGCUAACUCCGUGCCAGCAGCCGCGGUAAUACGGAGGGUCCGAGCGUUAUCCGGAAUUAUUGGGUUUAAAGGGUCCGUAGGCGGAUGAUUAAGUCAGGGGGUGAAAGUUUGCAGCUCAACUGUAAAAUUGCCUUUGAUACUGGUUAUCUUGAGUUGUAUUGAAGUA